This 510-nucleotide ribosomal RNA is filed under the name uncultured bacterium. RNAcentral's name for it is "bacterial SSU rRNA". It matches the Rfam family "Bacterial small subunit ribosomal RNA", at positions 353 to 853 of the family's 1533-position model. The record is from RNAcentral.
AGUGGGGAAUUUUGCGCAAUGGGCGAAAGCCUGACGCAGCGACGUCGCGUGAGGGAAGAAGGCUCUAGGGUCGUAAACCUCUGUCGAGGGGGAAGAAUGUCCGAAUGGUUAAUAUCCAUAUGGAGUGACGGUACCCCUUAAGGAAGCAUCGGCUAACUACGUGCCAGCAGCCGCGGUAAUACGUAGGAUGCAAGCGUUGCUCGGAUUUAUUGGGUGUAAAGGGCUCGCAGGUGGUCAUGUAAGUCAUAGGUGAAAGCCCUCGGCUUAACCGAGGAACUGCCUAUGAUACUGCAUGACUUGAGUACUGGAGAGGAAAGCGGAAUUCCUGGUGUAGCGGUGAAAUGCGUAGAUAUCAGGAGGAACACCGGUGGCGAAGGCGGCUUUCUGGACAGAUACUGACACUGAGGAGCGAAAGCGUGGGUAGCAAACAGGAUUAGAUACCCUGGUAGUCCACGCCCUAAACGAUGGGUACUAGGUGUGAGGACGAAUUAAAGUCUUCGUGCCGAAGCU